RNAcentral lists this long non-coding RNA (4330 nucleotides) under Salvia miltiorrhiza (redroot sage). RNAcentral's name for it is "long non-coding RNA (SMIL_LNC002169)". The record is from RNAcentral. Lineage: Eukaryota; Viridiplantae; Streptophyta; Magnoliopsida; Lamiales; Lamiaceae.
CUCCCUCAGUUCUUGGUGGCGCCAAUGUAGAACCUGAGCCCGAUGCCAUCUCUUAACUUGCCGCCGCUUGAGGGAUGCUGCGCUUCCGUCCAUCGCCUCGGGGUGCGAUUUCCGGCGAGACUGCCGUGUCUGGAUUUCAUUCGCCACCGUUGGCAGAUUCCGAGAAUCGGCGAAGUCGCCACAGCUCUGGUUCAGUGCGUCGUCAUUCCCGAUUUAGAGCUGGCAGUAGUCUCCCCCCUCCAACCUAAAGCUAAGUUUUAAACUUGCUUCUUCUUCUUUUCAUUGCAAUGAAGUAUCGAUACACAUAGAGGCUUAUUCGAGCAAGAGAAGUCAGAGCUUAAUUGUUCUAAAAGUGAGCAUGUUGUGGUUGUAUUUGUUCGUCUAUCAGUAAUAGUGGUGAGUUAAAGUGUUCCCCAUAUUCUGUGUCUGUGGAGUCUAUUGUUGUUCAUCGAAUACAUGAAUCAGAUGUAACAUAUCUCUAUAUCCCUAGAGUAAAGGCAGUGUAGUCUGCUGUUGCUACAUAAACUUAUGUGAAUAACUAAUCAUGCUCAUCUCCGAUUAGCAGCAUUCAUUAAAAAAAUCAUGCUAUGAUGAUGCGUGAAGCAUGUACAUGGAGAUAGUGAACUGGGAUAACGUAUAAUACCUUGAGGAUAUGGAUGUGGUGGCUGUUUGCUGCUGUGUUGAAUUAAAUGCAGGGGAUGGAAAUUGAAAUAGAGUAAUCUUGGUAACUACCUUAAUGAAUGAAGGUGAAAUUGUGGCAGGGAGUAUUAAAGUUCAAGGUGAAGCUUACCUCGAAAUAGCUUGGUGUUGGUUAUAUUAUCUGCUGCUGUAGUUGACUGAUCUUAAUUGGGGGUAACUGAAACAUAACAGUGGUUAUUCUUGCAUUAAUGCAGGUGAAAUCUUGGAGGAGUUGAAGAGAGUUAAAGAAGUUUACCUCAUUGGCAGAGAUGGAUGAAUGAUUUCCUCUCUUCUUCACGUGAGCUGUUAGAGUAUAAUGGAGAAGGAGUGUUAGGAGGUUGUUUGCUGAAAUGAUAGGUAAAAAGGGUUGAAGGCUGGCUGGAGCUUGAGUACCUACUAAAUGGUAGGGUGGCUGAUGUGAGUCCUAUGUGUACCUUGGGUAUGGCUGUUGUGGCAGAGGUGGAGUGCUUACUGCUGUUGCAGUUGCUGCAGAAAAUGGGGAGGGGACGCAACUGAUCUUAUUCUCCCCUCUCCCUUUAUUACUCCUUCCGUCCACCAAAAAAACUCCCAGUUGGAGUUCGGCAUGGAGACUAAAAUAGCUGAAAAAGGUGGUGUAAAAGACUAAAAGGAUAGUGUUUAUGUAUUGUGAUUACUUUUACUAAUCUUCCACUAACUAUUUGAUAAUAAUAAUAAUAAUAACAACAAUAAUAAUAAUAAUAACAAUAACAAUAACAAUAAUAAUAAUAAGGAUAAUAAUAAUAAUAAUAAUAACAAUAAUAAUAACAAUAACAAUAACAAUAAUAAGAAUAAGAAUAAUAAUAAUAACAAUAAUAAUAAUAAUAAUAACAACAAUAAUAAUAAUAAUAAUAAUAAUAAUAAUAAUAAUAAUAAUAACAACAACAAAAACAACAACAAUAAUAAUAAUCAUAAUAAUAAUAACAAUAACAAUAUUAUAAUAAUAAUAAUAAUAAUAAUAAUAAUAAUAACAACAAUAAUAAGAAUAAUAAGAAUAAGAAUAACAAUAAUAAGGAUAAUAAUAAGGAUAACGAUAAUAAUAAUAAUAAUAAUAACAAUAAUAAUAAUAAUAACAAUAACAAUAAUAAUAAUAAUAAUAAUAGUCGUAAAAAUAAUAAUAAUAAUAAUAAUAAUAAUAAUAAUAAUAAUAACAACAACAAUAACAAUAACAAUAAGGAUAAUAACAAUAAUUAAUUAAAUGAGAUUUUAUUAAAAAAGAGAAGAAAAAACAGACCUAAAACCCUUGAGAACACAGAGGAGUUAACUAAGGGCCGAGCCUCAUUAAAACCCUUUUAAGGCAAACCCAAACGGGAAAAUCCUUAAAAGGGAAAAAGAGUGCUCGUCUAGAAAAGACUGCGAGGGAGCGGAGAAGAGACAGCUUCAGAAGUUCCGGCCUAACCAUCACCCCUAAGCCGCUCGGCUCCCAAACGCAGCGAAAGCAAACAAACAAAAACGAAAAAAACAACAAAAAAACCCAGCAAAAGAGACAGAAAAAACCACACCGUUCCUCCAAACGAAAAAAACCAACGAAGCCCAAGAGAACUGGCCUAUCAAAACACGAAAACAGAGGGCCACCCAAACCCAGCAGAACAAUCCAGCCGUUCUUCAAGCAAAACGAACUCGGACGCAGAGUACGGCGACCCCGGCCGCGAACACCUGCUCUCAUGCCCAUUCUAGAACGCUCCUUGCAACAAGGAAGUCCAACGACAAACCUAGGAGAAAGAAAGUGAUAGAACACCAAGACUACCGUUCAUCAACGACCCAAACAACGGAGCCAUAAAAACUCGACGCCGACGCAACAACAACAACGCCGCGGAGCUUCCCAGACGAACCAAAACUCACAGCCCCAGUUCCGAGCUCACCCGGAAGCUGAAAAAAGGCCCUGAUCUUGGUCCCUAACCAACACCAACGACAAUCCAGCAAAAAACCCGCACAAAGAAACCAAUAAGUAAUAGGAACCCAAAGCGCCGACCAGAUGUUUGUGAAAAAUCCAAGCUUGUCAAAACAUAAAAGAUGCGGUCCCUCCAAGCAAAGACGCCAUCCCAGGAGGGAAUCAGCAUGAUUAUCAAAAGAAAAGGGUGAUAGAACACCAUGGCUCCCGUUCAUCAACGACCCGAACAACAGGACCAAAAACUCAACGCCGACGCAUCUGCUAGCAACGUCGCGGAGCUUCCAAAACGAACCAAAACUCAUAGCCCCAGCUCCGAGCUCACCCGGAAACUGAAAAAAGGCUAAGAGAUUAGUCCCUAAACCCCCGCCCCUGUCAAACCAUCUCAUACCCGCACAGAACUCCCAUCUUCUAUCAAACAACCAGAACGCAUACCAGGUGUUUGUGAAAGAGUCCAGGCAGCCAACGAGCAAGUAUAGCUUCUGCCACAUCCAAAGCCCAAUCAUCCGCGAAUGCGUAUAUGGCUGUGAGUGGCCAUGUCCGUCCUGACCGCUUUUUUGAUGGCCUCGACCUCGUGCGGCCACCACCCCUCCAUCAUGUUUUGAUUGGCCAUAAUGUCCGCAGGUUUGUUGCCUUCACGAUAGAUAUGCGUAACUUGAAGAUUAAAAUUUUGUAACAGACCAAGAGUAUACUUCCAAGAAGCAAAAAAACGCCAAGGCACGUUAGAAGAUCGAGAAUUCAAAACUUAUGUGAAUAACUAAUCAUGCUCAUCUCCGAUUAGCAGCAUUCAUUAAAAAAAUCAUGCUAUGAUGAUGCGUGAAGCAUGUACAUGGAGAUAGUGAACUGGGAUAACGUAUAAUACCUUGAGGAUAUGGAUGUGGUGGCUGUUUGCUGCUGUGUUGAAUUAAAUGCAGGGGAUGGAAAUUGAAAUAGAGUAAUCUUGGUAACUACCUUAAUGAAUGAAGGUGAAAUUGUGGCAGGGAGUAUUAAAGUUCAAGGUGAAGCUUACCUCGAAAUAGCUUGGUGUUGGUUAUAUUAUCUGCUGCUGUAGUUGACUGAUCUUAAUUGGGGGUAACUGAAACAUAACAGUGGUUAUUCUUGCAUUAAUGCAGGUGAAAUCUUGGAGGAGUUGAAGAGAGUUAAAGAAGUUUACCUCAUUGGCAGAGAUGGAUGAAUGAUUUCCUCUCUUCUUCACGUGAGCUGUUAGAGUAUAAUGGAGAAGGAGUGUUAGGAGGUUGUUUGCUGAAAUGAUAGGUAAAAAGGGUUGAAGGCUGGCUGGAGCUUGAGUACCUACUAAAUGGUAGGGUGGCUGAUGUCGAGUCCCUAUGUGUACCUUGGGGUAUGGCUGUUGUGGCAGAGGUGGAGUGCUUACUGCUGUUGCAGUUGCUGCAGAAAAUGGGGAGGGGACGCAACUGAUCUUAUUCUCCCCUCUCCCUUUAUUACUCCUUCCGUCCACCAAAAAAACUCCCAGUUGGAGUUCGGCAUGGAGACUAAAAAUAGCUGAAAAAGGUGGUGUAAAAGACUAAAAGGAUAGUGUUUAUGUAUUGUGAUUACUUUUACUAAUCUUCCACUAACUAUUUGAUAAUAAUAAUAAUAAUAACAACAACAAUAAUAAUAAUAACAACAAUAAUAAUAAUAAUAACAAUAACAAUAACAAUAAUAAUAAUAAGGAUAAUAAUAAUAAUAAUAAUAACAAUAAUAAUAACAAUAACAAUAACAAUAAUAAGAAUAAGAAUAAUAAUAAUAACA